RNAcentral lists this ribosomal RNA (676 nucleotides) under Ligilactobacillus equi. RNAcentral describes it as "bacterial SSU rRNA". It matches the Rfam family "Bacterial small subunit ribosomal RNA", at positions 57 to 702 of the family's 1533-position model. The record is from RNAcentral. Lineage: Bacteria; Bacillati; Bacillota; Bacilli; Lactobacillales; Lactobacillaceae.
GCAAGUCGAACGCUUUUUCUUAUCACCGUAGCUUGCUACACCGAUAAGAAAUUGAGUGGCGAACGGGUGAGUAACACGUGGGUAACCUGCCCUAAAGAGGGGGAUAACACUUGGAAACAGGUGCUAAUACCGCAUAUCUCUUAGAACCGCAUGGUUCUGGGAUGAAAGGUGGCGUAAGCUAUCACUUUAGGAUGGACCCGCGGCGUAUUAGCUUGUUGGUGGGGUAAUGGCCUACCAAGGCGAUGAUACGUAGCCGAACUGAGAGGUUGAUCGGCCACAUUGGGACUGAGACACGGCCCAAACUCCUACGGGAGGCAGCAGUAGGGAAUCUUCCACAAUGGACGCAAGUCUGAUGGAGCAACGCCGCGUGAAUGAAGAAGGCCUUCGGGUCGUAAAAUUCUGUUGUUAGAGAAGAACAUGCAGGAGAGUAACUGUUCUUGUAUUGACGGUAUCUAACCAGAAAGCCACGGCUAACUACGUGCCAGCAGCCGCGGUAAUACGUAGGUGGCAAGCGUUGUCCGGAUUUAUUGGGCGUAAAGGGAACGCAGGCGGUUUUUUAAGUCUGAUGUGAAAGCCUUCGGCUCAACCGAAGAAUUGCAUUGGAAACUGGAAGACUUGAGUGCAGAAGAGGAGAGUGGAACUCCAUGUGUAGCGGUGGAAUGCGUAGAUAUAUGGA